ACGAACGCUGGCGGCAUGCCUAACACAUGCAAGUCGAACGCUUGCCUUCGGGUGAUAGUGGCGCACGGGUGCGUAACGCGUGGGAAUCUGCCCUUAGGUUCGGAAUAACAGCUGGAAACGGCUGCUAAUACCGGAUGAUAUCGCGAGAUCAAAGAUUUAUCGCCUGAGGAUGAGCCCGCGUUGGAUUAGGUAGUUGGUGGGGUAAAGGCCUACCAAGCCGACGAUCCAUAGCUGGUCUGAGAGGAUGAUCAGCCACACUGGGACUGAGACACGGCCCAGACUCCUACGGGAGGCAGCAGUGGGGAAUAUUGGACAAUGGGCGCAAGCCUGAUCCAGCAAUGCCGCGUGAGUGAUGAAGGCCCUAGGGUUGUAAAGCUCUUUUACCCGGGAAGAUAAUGACUGUACCGGGAGAAUAAGCCCCGGCUAACUCCGUG
This 434-nucleotide ribosomal RNA is filed under the name uncultured bacterium. RNAcentral describes it as "partial 16S ribosomal RNA". It matches the Rfam family "Bacterial small subunit ribosomal RNA", at positions 29 to 507 of the family's 1533-position model. The record is from RNAcentral.